This 492-nucleotide ribosomal RNA is filed under the name uncultured bacterium. RNAcentral describes it as "partial 16S ribosomal RNA". It matches the Rfam family "Bacterial small subunit ribosomal RNA", at positions 29 to 507 of the family's 1533-position model. The record is from RNAcentral.
AGUGAACGCUGGCGGUAGGCCUAACACAUGCGAGUCGAACGGCAGCACAGUAAGAGCCUGCUCUUACGGGUGGCGAGUGGCGGACGGGUGAGGAAUACAUCGGAAUCUACUUUUUCGUGGGGGAUAACGUAGGGAAACUUACGCUAAUACCGCAUACGACCUACGGGUGAAAGCAGGGGAUCUUCGGACCUUGCGCGAUUGAAUGAGCCGAUGUCGGAUUAGCUAGUUGGCGGGGUAAAGGCCCACCAAGGCGACGAUCCGUAGCUGGUCUGAGAGGAUGAUCAGCCACACUGGAACUGAGACACGGUCCAGACUCCUACGGGAGGCAGCAGUGGGGAAUAUUGGACAAUGGGCGCAAGCCUGAUCCAGCCAUACCGCGUGGGUGAAGAAGGCCUUCGGGUUGUAAAGCCCUUUUGUUGGGAAAGAAAAGCAGCAGGUUAAUAUCCCGCUGUUCUGACGGUACCCAAAGAAUAAGCACCGGCUAACUUCGUG